ACCAACGCGCUUUGAGAAACCGAAUUUAAGAAUUAAUGUGAAAAGAAAAUCAAUGAAAUCAAUGAAAUAAGCCAUAAAACAAACAGCAAUUUUUUUCUAAAGCCUCAAGUGGCAACACCAUUUUACUAUUCUCUCUUGUCGCUAGCACGCUUAUUUCUGAUCUUAUUGAUAAUAAUGUGUAGUCAGUACGCGAAUCUGUAGGCGCAAGACCUCCACCCCCAAAGCCGACGAGCAAGUGCCAGACCCUAAUAGCGUGCCCCGCAACUGCAGAUUCCCGAUUUCAUCCAACCAUUACACGCUACAACAGGGCUGCGAAGACGAUUUUGUGGUAUUUUCCACCACCAUUUUCCAGCACUAUUAAGCAGCCCACAACAGCUGAAAAGCGAAUACGGAGCAGAGGAUGUCACCCAAUUUCUGUUGUUUCUGUGGGAGGUGGACAUGUAUGGAAGGAACACCACCUUUCGUACAAGAAAUCGUUGAUCCGACGGCGAGAUACGGCCCAAGUGCGUUGAAAGUCGGUAUAAAAAUAAAAAACCUACAUAAAAAUAUAGAUUGUUAUUAUUGUAUUAUUUUUGUUUUUACUUCGAAGCACUACAAAAGGAUAAAGUCCAUUUUAUCUUACUCAAAAGCGAUCAAUUCAAAAGAAUUAAUAGUCGAAAGCAAUAAGCCAUUAAAUCUCUACCUUUUAAGUGACAUAUAUUUCGCAAGCCUUUAAUUUAGAUUUAGCCAAUGAUCAUGCUACUGUCGAUGCUGAUGAUUAACAAUCCUGCUCUCAACAGAGAAAAAGAAUGAGCAGCGCCAGAGAAAAGCUUCUGGAAAUAGAAAAUAAAAAAAUUACCAUAAUUUUGAAGAUCUGAAAAGGAACGAGUGGCUUAAGUUAUUCGAGCGAAAUAUGAAAAUGGCUAAAACUGAAUAUAAGUAGUGUAAGGAGUUGAAUAACUCCCCACAAAUAGAAGCAGCAGCAGAUGGCCGGCCGCUUACCAGAUACGCGGCGAAGG
Non-coding RNA from Drosophila suzukii, 998 nucleotides. The record is from RefSeq and is a predicted model, not a curated record. Lineage: Eukaryota; Metazoa; Arthropoda; Insecta; Diptera; Drosophilidae.